GCAGAUGUAGUCUAGCCCGGUAAGGCGCUGGCUUCGAGAGCCAGUGCGCGUAAUGCGUUCGGGGGUUCGAAUCCCUCCAUCUGCG
Molecule: transfer RNA, 85 nt
Filed under: Promethearchaeota archaeon
Lineage: Archaea; Promethearchaeati; Promethearchaeota
Description: Candidatus Lokiarchaeota archaeon (microbial mat metagenome) tRNA-Ser
Rfam family: tRNA
About the family: Transfer RNA (tRNA) molecules are approximately 80 nucleotides in length. Their secondary structure includes four short double-helical elements and three loops (D, anti-codon, and T loops).
Source: RNAcentral